This 103-nucleotide small nuclear RNA is filed under the name Vicugna pacos (alpaca). The record is from RNAcentral. Lineage: Eukaryota; Metazoa; Chordata; Mammalia; Artiodactyla; Camelidae.
UUGCUUCGGCAGCACAUAUACUAAAAUUGGAAUGACACAGAGAAGAUUAGCAUGGCCCCUGCACAAGGAUGACAUACAAAUUCGUGAAGCGUUCUAUAUUUAA